Molecule: ribosomal RNA, 663 nt
Filed under: Triticum aestivum (bread wheat)
Lineage: Eukaryota; Viridiplantae; Streptophyta; Magnoliopsida; Poales; Poaceae
Description: partial small subunit ribosomal RNA
Source: RNAcentral
AUGAUUCUGGGCUAUUCGCCCGAUGAGAGCCAGAGCAUCGCUAACCGGCUUAACUGUCGGUUGGGGACAUUCCCCACUACCUACCUGGGGGUCCCCAUUAGUGACUCCCGCCUGACCGUGGCCGACCUACGGCCCUCGGUGCUCAAGCUCCAACACCGCAUCGAGCCGUGGCAGGGUCGUUGGCUCUCUAAGGCGGCUCGUACGAUCCUCAUCAACUUGUCCCUUUCCAGACUCCUCCUAUUCAUCAUGAGCUUCUACAGCUUCCCCGAGACUCUCCACCAUGAGAUUGGUUCGGUCCAGGCCCGGUUCUAUUGGGUGGGCGAGGGCGACAAGCAAAAGUACCAUAUGGUGCGCUGGUCUGAAAUCUGCAAGCCCCGGGAUCAAGGUGGUCUUGGUAUCAUGUCCUCCAAGCGCAUGAACCUGGCACUCCUCACUCAUCGGCUCUGGCGCAUUGCGAAUGGCGAUGGCGGCCUGUGGUUGCAGAUCGUGCGCCAGAAAUACCUGCGUGGUCAAGCCCUCGCCUUCUGCGCCCGGACCGGAGGGUCCCAGUUCUGGCAAUCUGUCAUUCAGCUCCUACCGGUCCUCCGUCGGAACUGGGUCAUCCACGCUGUUUUGGCUAGACCGCUGGGCUGGGGACCUCCCCUUCGUUGCGAGAUUCCCUGA